UCCUAGUUAACCUAGGCAGUCUCAUUAGAGUCCCCACCUUACGUGUUGGCAACUAAUGAUAAGGGUUGCGCUCGUUGCUGGACUUAACCAAACACCUCACGGCACGAGCUGACGACAGCCAUGCAGCACCUAUACAGAAGUCCUUACGGAAAAUACCAUUUCUGGUAUCGCCCUCUGCAUUUCGAGCCCAGGUAAGGUUCUUCGCGUUGCAUCGAAUUAAACCACAUGCUCCACUGCUUGUGCGGGCCCCCGUCAAUUCUUUUGAGUUUCACCCUUGCGAGCGUACUCCUCAGGCGGUGUACUUAACGCGUUAGCUCCGACACAGCCAGGGUUGAGCCUAGCUACAUCAAGUACACAUCGUUUACGACAAGGACUAC
RNAcentral lists this unclassified non-coding RNA (377 nucleotides) under uncultured Simkaniaceae bacterium. Its description in RNAcentral is "contains 16S-23S intergenic spacer region". Lineage: Bacteria; Pseudomonadati; Chlamydiota; Chlamydiia; Parachlamydiales; Simkaniaceae. The record is from RNAcentral.